AUUGAACGCUGGCGGCAGGCCUAACACAUGCAAGUCGAGCGGAUGAGUGGAGCUUGCUCCAUGAUUCAGCGGCGGACGGGUGAGUAAUGCCUAGGAAUCUGCCUGGUAGUGGGGGACAACGUUUCGCAAGGAACGCUAAUACCGCAUACGUCCUACGGGAGAAAGUGGGGGAUCUUCGGACCUCACGCUAUCAGAUGAGCCUAGGUCGGAUUAGCUAGUUGGUGAGGUAAAGGCUCACCAAGGCGACGAUCCGUAACUGGUCUGAGAGGAUGAUCAGUCACACUGGAACUGAGACACGGUCCAGACUCCUACGGGAGGCAGCAGUGGGGAAUAUUGGACAAUGGGCGAAAGCCUGAUCCAGCCAUGCCGCGUGUGUGAAGAAGGUCUUCGGAUUGUAAAGCACUUUAAGUUGGGAGGAAGGGCAGUAAGUUAAUACCUUGCUGUUUUGACGGUACCAACAGAAUAAGCACCGGCUAACUUCGUG
This 484-nucleotide ribosomal RNA is filed under the name uncultured bacterium. Its description in RNAcentral is "partial 16S ribosomal RNA". It matches the Rfam family "Bacterial small subunit ribosomal RNA", at positions 30 to 507 of the family's 1533-position model. The record is from RNAcentral.